UGUGCUUGGACAACUUUUAAGACUGUAGUCAGCUUCAAAACCCUGGGUGGUUUUGGUAACCAUUAACCAUAACCAUCAACCAAAACCCUGGAGAAAGGAUCAAGCCCCAGUGACCUCAUUUCUAGUGUGCUCUAGGGCUUUCUGCAGGGCAGGAAUGAGGCAGGUAGGGGAAAAGGGCAUGGAGCUCCUAUGGAAAGAACCUGAUGUAGAAUCAGCAAAGCUGAAAACUGUACAAAUGAACUCUUCCCUGGAUGUCCUCUUUUCUCCAUUCUUCUCUAGGGUAAACAACAACAACAACAACAAGCAAAGGAGAAAGCAACAAAACCCCAGGCCAAUUGCCCACACUGUGAGUCUUUCAGCUCAGUCCACUCUUGUCCCUGGAAGAUGUGUCUGCUGCUGCCUCUGAUCUGUGUGGUCACUGUUUUGUACACUUGAGCUGCAGUGGCUGUGACAUAUCUCAGCAGAACUCUCCACAGCUGAUUCUUGUGCAGGUAGGGCGUGAUUAAUGAUUUUUGCCUCUUGCUAUUCAUUAAAGGCUGUUUGCACUGAAUGUACUGUCAGGUUUUGCAGGAUACACUCAUGCUGAAGAAAGAACAGAUCAGAGACUUGGGAGGCACUAAUUAGAAAUGCCCAUAAGAGGUACUGUGGACACUUGUCUCACUUCUUCUUUCAUUCAGUCAGUCACAUAUUCAUUCAUGCAUUCCUUUACCAAAUACGCAUCAAGUCCUGUGUGCCUGGACUUGUGUAGUUCCUGAGAAAACAAAGAUAAUAAAGGCAUUGACAGGAAACACGUACAUGCCAAGGAAUGGUUGCCAUCUAAGAAUGUGAUUGCUCUAAUGAAGGCCGGAGAAUGCAAAUAUUCUUGAGCACAGGCUACCGGCUUCAUAUCUUGACAUGGUCACUACUCAGUGAAAACAGAGGUGAAAGAGAACCUAAUACUGUCCAGGGAGUCACAAAUGUUUCAGAGAAGGUAGCAUGUAGGUCAAGACUUGAAGAGGAAGCAGUGGAUUGCCAGGAAGACCAGCCAAGUGAGGGCAUUCCAGACAAAGAAGACAACAUAGAUUCUGAAGUUGGAUAGGCCUGAAUCCACUUUAGAAUGCUCCUGCAGAAUAGGACAAAAUGCAAGAUCGGUGUCUCUCUAAUCCCAGGAGCAGGCAACGAUUUCUCUCCUGUGACACCAUGGGGACAAGCCCAGAGAGCAGACCUGUGGGCCUGGGGAGGUGGAAGGAUUUCUGUGAAACUUGUCUGCAGAAAAGCCAGACCUGCCAGGACAUUGCUGCAAAAUGACAGCUGCAUUCACAGAAUCCACUCUUCUCAGUUUGCAGAUGGGCCAUAGACUUUUCAACAAAUAACUGAGGGGUGUUCUGGGAAUUCUACUGCUUCUUUGCUGUGACCUCUGGAGAUUUUCUAAAUUAGAAUCAUUACCUAUAUGGGAAGCCUGCAAUGCAAAUCAAAUGAGAGGCCACGGGCAAGCUAAUGAAGGCCAGUGACCCGGGGAUCUAAUGAAGAUGAACAACUCUGUUAUAGGGAGAGGACGCCACCAUAUCACAUGCUGCUUGGAGCAGGAAAAGAGUUUCAGAUGAUGAGGUCACCAAAGGUCUGAAGAUGAGCCUCCAAAGGAAAUACAGAAGAAUAUACUUUGGAAUGGCUGAGCAAAGUGUGGACAUUGAAACUAAGGAAUGCUAUAGCAAGUGUGCCUAGGAAGUGCCUGGCUAGAACAGUGAAGACGUCAACCAACGCUGCAGCUCUCCGUGAGCCAACAAUAGACUAAGAGUUGGGGGAUCAAAUUUCCCCAUUGAACAAUCAAGAAAAACUUGGAGGCCCACAACUGGAAAACAUUUACUUGAAAAUCACUGAUGCAGGAACUUCUGAGACUGGAGCAGCCCACAUGUAUGCUUAUAAAAGGGAGGCAGAGGGAGACUUGACCAAUAAACAGGACGAUUCGAUGUGAUCAUGGAGGCACCGAAGCUGGAAGAGGCAAAAACAGAUUCUUCCCUAAAGCCCUUGUGGCGCACAGCCAUGCUGAUAUUCUGACUUCAACCCAGGGACACUGAUUUUGGACUUCUGACUCCUGGAACUGUGAGAAAAUGUUUUUCUAUUGUUUUAACCCACCAAGUUUGUGGUAAUUUGUCAUAGUGGCCACAGGAAAUGAAUACAUCCUCCAUUUUUCAGAGUAAAAGCCUGUAAAAUUCAGGGUCCCCAGGUGGUUCAGUUGGUUAAGCCUCCAACUUCAGUUCAGGUCAUGAUCUUGCAGUUGGUGAGU
Leopardus geoffroyi (Geoffroy's cat) is the source of this 2263-nucleotide long non-coding RNA. RefSeq lists it as uncharacterized. The record is from RefSeq and is a predicted model, not a curated record. The transcript is spliced from 8 exons. NCBI's taxonomy places the organism in Eukaryota, Metazoa, Chordata, Mammalia, Carnivora, Felidae.